Molecule: ribosomal RNA, 774 nt
Filed under: uncultured bacterium
Lineage: Bacteria
Description: bacterial SSU rRNA
Rfam family: Bacterial small subunit ribosomal RNA
Source: RNAcentral
UGGCUCAGGACGAACGCUGGCGGCACGCUUAACACAUGCAAGUCGAACGGAGAACAUUGAGCUUGCUUAAUGUUCUUAGUGGCGGACGGGUGAGUAACACGUGAGUAACCUGCCUCUGAGAGUGGGAUAGCUUCUGGAAACGGAUGGUAAUACCGCAUAACAUCAUGGAUUCGCAUGUUUCUGUGAUCAAAGAUUUAUCGCUUAGAGAUGGACUCGCGUCUGAUUAGCUAGUUGGUAAGGUAACGGCUUACCAAGGCGACGAUCAGUAGCCGGACUGAGAGGUUGAUCGGCCACAUUGGGACUGAGACACGGCCCAGACUCCUACGGGAGGCAGCAGUGGGGAAUAUUGCACAAUGGGGGAAACCCUGAUGCAGCGAUGCCGCGUGGAGGAAGAAGGUUUUCGGAUUGUAAACUCCUGUUGAAGAGGACGAUAAUGACGGUACUCUUUUAGAAAGCUCCGGCUAACUACGUGCCAGCAGCCGCGGUAAUACGUAGGGAGCGAGCGUUGUCCGGAAUUACUGGGUGUAAAGGGAGCGUAGGCGGGAUGGCAAGUCAGAUGUGAAAACUAUGGGCUCAACCCAUAGACUGCAUUUGAAACUGUUGUUCUUGAGUGAGGUAGAGGUAAGCGGAAUUCCUGGUGUAGCGGUGAAAUGCGUAGAGAUCAGGAGGAACAUCGGUGGCGAAGGCGGCUUACUGGGCCUUUACUGACGCUGAGGCUCGAAAGCGUGGGGAGCAAACAGGAUUAGAUACCCUGGUAGUCCACGCCGUAAACGA